RNAcentral lists this small RNA (135 nucleotides) under Cricetulus griseus (Chinese hamster). Its description in RNAcentral is "tRNA-Thr". Lineage: Eukaryota; Metazoa; Chordata; Mammalia; Rodentia; Cricetidae. The record is from RNAcentral.
UGGGCCCUGAGAAUUGAACCAGGGUCCUUUGGAAGAGCAGCCAGUGCUCUUAACUGUUGAGCCAUGUCUCCAGCCCUGAAUCUAGCUAUGUUCUUACACAUACUAGUCAAAAGCUGUACCACUGAGCCAUAGCCC